Molecule: ribosomal RNA, 525 nt
Filed under: uncultured bacterium
Lineage: Bacteria
Description: bacterial SSU rRNA
Rfam family: Bacterial small subunit ribosomal RNA
Source: RNAcentral
GAUGAACGCUGGCGGUGUGCCUAAUACAUGCAAGUCGAACGAGGAGCCUUUGUAUUCGUACGGAGGAAUUCCUGGUGGCGAACGGGUGAGUAACACGUUGGUGACCUGCCCCGAAGACUGGGACAACAGUUCGAAAGGACUGCUAAUACCGGAUAUGGUCCUGAGGGUUAGAUACCUCUUGAUCAAAGGGAUUUAUUCGCUUCGGGAGGGGCCUGCGGCCCAUCAGCUAGUUGGUAGGGUAAUGGCCUACCAAGGCGACGACGGGUAGGGGACCUGAGAGGGUGAUCCCCCACACUGGGACUGAGACACGGCCCAGACACCUACGGGUGGCAGCAGUAGGGAAUCUUGCACAAUAGACGAAAGUCUGAUGCANCAACACCGCGUGGAGGAAGAAGGCCUUCGGGUUGUAAACUCCUUUUCGGGGGGAUGAGGAAGGACAGUACCCCCGGAAUAAGUCUCGGCUAACUACGUGCCAGCAGCCGCGGUAAAACGUAGGAGGGAAGCGUUAUCCGGAUUUACUGGGCG